CCUACGGGUGGCAGCAGUGAGGAAUAUUGGUCAAUGGACGGAAGUCUGAACCAGCCAUGCCGCGUGCAGGAAGACGGCUCUAUGAGUUGUAAACUGCUUUUGUACAAGGAUAAACCUGUCUACUUGUAUUCAGCUGCAAGUACUGUACGAAUAAGGAUCGGCUAACUCCGUGCCAGCAGCCGCGGUAAUACGGAGGAUCCAAGCGUUAUCCGGAUUUAUUGGGGUUAAAGGGUGCGUAGGCGGAUUGAUAAGUUAGAGGUGAAAUGUCCGAGCUUAACUCGGGAACUGCCGCUAAUACUGUUGAUCUAGAGAGUAGAUGCGGUAGGCGGAAUGUAUGGUGUAGCGGUGAAAUGCUUAGAGAUCAUAAAGAACACCGAUUGCGAAGGCAGCUUACCAAUCUAUAUCUGACGUUGAGGCACGAAAGCGUGGGGAGCAAACAGGAUUAGAUACCCUGGUAGUC
RNAcentral lists this ribosomal RNA (460 nucleotides) under uncultured bacterium. RNAcentral describes it as "partial 16S ribosomal RNA". It matches the Rfam family "Bacterial small subunit ribosomal RNA", at positions 338 to 795 of the family's 1533-position model. The record is from RNAcentral.